GCAGUAGCCGCGGUAAUACAGAGGGUGCGAGCGUUAAUCGGAUUUACUGGGCGUAAAGCGUGCGUAGGCGGCUUCUUAAGUCGGAUGUGAAAUCCCUGAGCUUAACUUAGGAAUUACAUUCGAUACUGGGAAGCUAGAGUAUGGGAGAGGAUGGUAGAAUUCCAGGUGUAGCGGUGAAAUGCGUAGAGAUCUGGAGGAAUACCGAUGGCGAAGGCAGCCAUCUGGCCUAAUACUGACGCUGAGGUACGAAAGCAUGGGGAGCAAACAGGAUUAGAUACCCGAGUAGUCCCUGUCUCUUAUAC
Molecule: ribosomal RNA, 302 nt
Filed under: uncultured bacterium
Lineage: Bacteria
Description: partial 16S ribosomal RNA
Rfam family: Bacterial small subunit ribosomal RNA
Source: RNAcentral